Molecule: ribosomal RNA, 468 nt
Filed under: uncultured bacterium
Lineage: Bacteria
Description: partial 16S ribosomal RNA
Rfam family: Bacterial small subunit ribosomal RNA
Source: RNAcentral
GACGAACGCUGGCGGCGUGCUUAACACAUGCAAGUCGAACGGACAGGCCCUGCUUUUGUGGGGUGCUCGAGUGGCGAACGGGUGAGUAACACGUGAGUAACCUGCCCUUGACUUUGGGAUAACUUCAGGAAACUGGGGCUAAUACCGGAUAGGAGCUCCUGCUGCAUGGUGGGGGUUGGAAAGUUUCGGCGGUUGGGGAUGGACUGGCGGCUUAUCAGCUUGUUGGUGGGGUAGUGGCUUACCAAGGCUGUGACGGGUAGCCGGCCUGAGAGGGGGACCGGCCACAAUGGGACUGAGGUACGGCCCAGAAUCCUACGGGAGGCAGCAGUGGGGAAUAUGGCACAAUGGGGGGAAGCCUGAGGCAGCAACGCCGCGUGCGGGAUGACGGCCUUCGGGGUGUAAACCGCUUUCGCCGGUGACGAAGCGUGAGUGACGGUAAUGGGUAAAGAAGCACCGGCUAACUACGUG